UGAGUAGGAGGCUCUGGUCUGAGUGUCAACUGAGAACUAACGCUGUUGCAGUUAACCUUCAAAGACAGCAGCACUUUGACACAGGGGUUGGUGAGAUCUGGGAAGACGUUACCCCGAUAAUCUACACUCUCAAGGCCCACCAUCUAAAAUCAGAAUGGAAGCUCAAGGUGAAAAACCUCUCAGCUGUGGGACAAUUUGUCUGAAAUAUCUACUUUUUCUCUUCAACAUUCUGUUUUGGCUGGCAGGAGGGUCCGUGCUGGCAGUGGGAGUGUGGACGCUGGCGGAAAAGAGUGACUACAUCAGUUUACUGAACUCCAGCUUCUACUCAGCCUCAGCUUAUAUCCUGAUAGCUGCCGGGGUCAUUGUGAUAGUGACCGGGAUCAUUGGAUGCUGUGCAACUCUGAAGGAGAUGAAGAGUCUUUUGAUUGUGUAUUUGGUCUUGUUGCUCUGUGUUUUCCUGCUGGAAAUCAUUGCUGGUGUGCUGGCUUUCAUUACCUACCAAGAGUGUUUCCCUCUCUGCCACCAGCUGGACGAGGAGCUCAGACAGAACCUGAAGGUGACCAUGCAGCAGAAAUACCAGCAGCCGGGGGAGGAGAGCGUCACGCAGGCUGUGGAUAAACUUCAGCAGGAGGUUAUAUUGUCGUCUUUUUUCUUUCUUUGGUCCUCUCUGCACCGGCUCCCUCCCAGUUUAAAUGUUGUGGCAGUCACAACUCCUCAGACUGGAGAGACUGUGCUUGGAUCCAGGCAGCAGAGAACGAGCGGCUCGUUCCUGACAGCUGCUGUAAAAGUCCAGAUGACCUCUGUGGUCGCAGGGACCAUCCCUCCAACAUCUACAAGGUGGAGGGAGGCUGCAUUAUGAAAUUAGAAGAGUUCAUCCUGAGUCAGUUGUAUAUUCUCGGUGCAGUGGGCAUUGGGAUUGGAUUUUUACAGCUUGUGGGGAUGAUGUUUACUUGCUGCCUUUAUCAAAGUUUGAAAGAAGAUCCGUACUGAUUUUUUAUAUUGUUUAAUAUCGCAUCAUGUGUCACAUCAUGAAUUGUAAAAUGUUUGGUUAGGUACUUUAAUGCCCCAAUUAUUCAGUCAUGGAUGCUGUGAAGUGCCAAUUCAAAUUAUGACAUGAUUUUCAAAGUGCACACACUAGAGAUGCUUUAAUGCUGCUGGGCAGCAAUGUCCUCUUCUGCAAAAUGCCAUUGCAUGCUUUAAAUAUCUUCCCUUGUAUGUUAAGAUUAUGAGUGUGGAAGAACUUGUAAACAAAAAAACACAUUUUGAAUAGCAGAGAAAUAUGAGCAUGCUGUGGCUACAUUUGCAAACAGUGUUGGUCUUGUUGUUUAUCUAAGUUUUUUUAUGUAUCACAUAUUGUUUACCAAAAAGUGUAAUUAAAUAAUGAAAAUAUAUUUUUGUGUUUGUUAAAAUGCAAAUAAAAUGCUUUAUUAUUCCCAAA
Molecule: RNA transcript, 1438 nt
Organism: Cottoperca gobio
Lineage: Eukaryota; Metazoa; Chordata; Actinopteri; Perciformes; Bovichtidae
Gene: cd151
Gene name: CD151 molecule
Exons: 9
Source: RefSeq, a predicted model, not a curated record